UACGUAGGGGGCUAGCGUUGUCCGGAUUCAUUGGGCGUAAAGGGCGCGUAGGCGGCUAGUUGUGUCAAAGGUGAAAUCCCUCGGCUCAACUGAGGAACUGCCUUUGAAACUGUCUGGCUUGAGGCCGGGAGAGGGUAGCGGAAUUCCCAGUGUAGCGGUGAAAUGCGUAGAUAUUGGGAGGAACACCAGUGGCGAAGGCGGCUACCUGGACCGGUUCUGACGCUGAGGCGCGAAAGCGUGGGUAGCAAACAGG
This 253-nucleotide ribosomal RNA is filed under the name uncultured bacterium. Its description in RNAcentral is "partial 16S ribosomal RNA". It matches the Rfam family "Bacterial small subunit ribosomal RNA", at positions 524 to 776 of the family's 1533-position model. The record is from RNAcentral.